This 306-nucleotide ribosomal RNA is filed under the name uncultured Allapsidae. Its description in RNAcentral is "bacterial SSU rRNA". The stretch from base 109 to 306 matches the Rfam family "Eukaryotic small subunit ribosomal RNA", at positions 753 to 955 of the family's 1831-position model. The record is from RNAcentral. Lineage: Eukaryota; Cercozoa; Glissomonadida; Viridiraptoridae.
GAUUUUUGUGUGGGUUGGUGUGGGGGUGCGGGUGGGGAUUUUCCCUCCUCGUCACCCCCUCCCACCACACAUUCGGAACCGGUCGGCUUCGGCCUCCCGGCUCCACAAUACUUUGAGAAAAAGAAAGUGUUCCAAGCAGUCUUUCGACCUGAAUACAUUAGCAUGGAAUAUACACAACGGACUCCCGUCCUUGUGGUUGGUUUUUGGACCGAGUCAUGAUUGAUAGGGACAGUUGGGGGUGCUCGUAUUCCGUGAGGACAGGUGAAAUUGAAUGAUCCACGGACGACGAACUACUGCGAAAGCAUU